UUUUCGAACUCGUCCCUGUCGGAAUCCUUCCUUUUCAACGCGAUUGCUGAGCGCGUGUUCCAAGCACUUCUUCCCCUAGCUGGUACUUUCUGCCGAGAGGAUUAUCUCAAAGGUGGCCACCGCUUUCAUCUCCCCAAAAUCCACACAAAGGGUUUGAAUCGAAAUCGGUUGUUUUCAUCCCCAAUGGCUUCGGUGUCCAAGGAAUCUCCUUCCAACAACCCAGGCCUCCACUCGAGCCCCGACGAAGCCACUAAAUCAUAUUUCAUGCAACAGACUAUGCUUCGAGUCAAGGAUCCCAAAGCCAGUCUUGAUUUCUAUUCUCGCGUGUUGGGCAUGUCGUUACUCAAGAGGUUGGAUUUUCCAAUGAUGAAGUUUAGCUUGUACUUUAUGGGUUACGAGGAUCCAAAAUCAGCUCCUAGUAGUUCAGUUGAGCGAACAACUUGGACUUUUGGUCAGAAAGCUACGAUUGAGCUUACACAUAACUGGGGUACUGAAAGUGAUCCUGAAUUCAAGGGAUACCAUAAUGGGAACUCAGAACCUCGUGGCUUUGGACACAUUGGCAUCACUGUUGAUGACACAUACAAGGCAUGUGAGAGAUUUGAACGUCUAGGGGUGGAGUUUGUUAAAAAACCUGAUGAUGGGAAAUUGAAAGGGAUAGCAUUUAUUAAGGAUCCUGAUGGCUAUUACAUUGAAAUCUUUGAUCUUAAAACGAUAGGAACAAUAACUGCUGGUGCCGCUUGAGAUAAUUAUGAUACGAACUUCAGGAUUGUCCAAUACAAAUGCAGGAAAAUUUGGGAUGCAGUUUUUAAAUGCUUAUGGAUUUCCAUCUGCUAUUUAGUAGGGGGGUCUGCCUGGGUCGAUAUAGUUCAGAGAACUGUUUUCCGGAAAACUCAAGCUACUCUCAAGCACCGAAGACAUUGGUCAUAAAUACAAUUGGGGCGCACGUGGGGAUGACAAAUUGGUGAUCGCCAAAAAAAGUAUAUAAAAUAUUUUUAAACGUUUUAUUUUGACGUGUUUUACGUUUGCAUCACCUGAACAGCGUCGCUGAUUUGUGGAUCCAUCAAACUCCUCCCCGGUCCCUCCACUUAGAGAGCUUUGCGCUACAAGUUAUUAUUAUUAUUAUUAUUAUUAUUAUUAUUAUCAUCAGUGGAAAUUGUGCGUGGAGCAUGAGAAGAAUUUGUCUUGCUCUAUCCUCGUGGUCUGACGCAACCACUGCUCUAAACACCUUGAGCCAAAAGGCAAAAGCUGCAGUCGAAUAUGUUUGUUUAAUUUAUUUUUAAGUGUUAUACAGCGCAUCCAUGUAAGCAUUUUCAUUCCGAUAGCAUUUACUUUUUUCAGAUAUUAUGUUUUUUUAUCGUUUAACAUUCCGAUCCAUAUAACAUAAUUGGUCUUAUAGAUGUCCUAUAAAAUUUUUUUUUUUUU
Malania oleifera is the source of this 1422-nucleotide RNA transcript. It is a transcript of the gene named lactoylglutathione lyase, with no coding region annotated. NCBI's taxonomy places the organism in Eukaryota, Viridiplantae, Streptophyta, Magnoliopsida, Santalales, Ximeniaceae. The record is from RefSeq and is a predicted model, not a curated record. The transcript is spliced from 10 exons.